RNAcentral lists this small RNA (67 nucleotides) under Caulobacter henricii. RNAcentral's name for it is "Cauldobacter sRNA CC3552". It matches the Rfam family "Cauldobacter sRNA CC3552". Lineage: Bacteria; Pseudomonadati; Pseudomonadota; Alphaproteobacteria; Caulobacterales; Caulobacteraceae. The record is from Rfam by way of RNAcentral.
GGAGGCGGCGACGCCCCCCCGACUUGAGGUCAGCGCAAGCUGGCCUGCUGCCUCCGCACCCCCCACA